GAGAUCUGUCUGCAUAAGUUCUAUUGUUGCGAGAGUCAGAUCACUUUCAGGAAAGUCUAAUCCAACGCCACAAGGAUCCAUGGGCUGGGAGAAGAAACUGUGGAGACUUCUCACCUGGAGCUUUGGGAGAAGCCAAUAAGAAAACUACGAGCUCCUUUUCUCCUCCAGAGAAGAUCAAGAUGAUCCUCCCAUCUCAGGAUCCACUAGAGGUGUCCUUCAGGAGUUCCGCAGGUUGCCUUGGUUUCCUAGAGGAGCUGUCCUGCAAGACUCCUCAGAGGCACAUCCCCAAAGAGAGAGAUAGCAGGCCAGAUGUUUCACAACGAGGCAGCCUCUGCUCUGAAGAGAGCGCAAUCAGACGCGGGCCCACAGGAAGCUUCCCACGGCUGCGGGCUGUUGGUGGAGUUCAGCCAGCGGUCAAGGAGCGGGCGGCCGCUCACCGAACCACGCUGCCUGCAGUGCCCCAAC
Molecule: long non-coding RNA, 465 nt
Organism: Gallus gallus (chicken)
Lineage: Eukaryota; Metazoa; Chordata; Aves; Galliformes; Phasianidae
Source: Ensembl